AGUGGCAUAGCUGGGUCAAAUGUUGGUUCCACUCAAAGUUUUCUGAGGAAUCUCCAUACUGCUUUCCAGAUUGGUUAUACCAAUUUGCAGUCCCACCAGCAAU
This 103-nucleotide microRNA precursor is filed under the name Marmota monax (woodchuck). Lineage: Eukaryota; Metazoa; Chordata; Mammalia; Rodentia; Sciuridae. The record is from RNAcentral.